RNAcentral lists this ribosomal RNA (1082 nucleotides) under uncultured Campylobacteraceae bacterium. RNAcentral describes it as "bacterial SSU rRNA". It matches the Rfam family "Bacterial small subunit ribosomal RNA", at positions 46 to 1133 of the family's 1533-position model. Lineage: Bacteria; Pseudomonadati; Campylobacterota; Epsilonproteobacteria; Campylobacterales; Campylobacteraceae. The record is from RNAcentral.
GCUUACACAUGCAAGUCGAACGAGAACGGAUUAUAGCUUGCUAUAAUUGUCAGCUAAGUGGCGCACGGGUGAGUAAUGUAUAGGUAACGUGCCUUGAAGAGGGGGAUAACAGUUGGAAACGACUGCUAACACCCUAUAUGCCUUUAUCACAUAAGUGAGCAAGGGAAAUAUUUAUAGCUUCAAGAUCGGCCUGUAUGGUAUCAGCUUGUUGGUGAGGUAAUGGCUCACCAAGGCUAUGACAUCUAACUGGUUUGAGAGGAUGAUCAGUCACACUGGAACUGAGACACGGUCCAGACUCCUACGGGAGGCAGCAGUGGGGAAUAUUGCACAAUGGGGGAAACCCUGAUGCAGCAACGCCGCGUGGAGGAUGACACAUUUCGGUGCGUAAACUCCUUUUAUAGGUCAAGAUAAUGACGGUAGCCUAUGAAUAAGCGCCGGCUAACUCCGUGCCAGCAGCCGCGGUAAUACGGAGGGCGCAAGCGUUACUCGGAAUCACUGGGCGUAAAGAGCGUGUAGGCGGAUAAAUAAGUUGGGAGUGAAAUCCUAUGGCUCAACCAUAGAACUGCUUCCAAAACUGUUUAUCUAGAAUAUGGGAGAGGUAGAUGGAAUUUCUGGUGUAGGGGUAAAAUCCGUAGAGAUCAGAAGGAAUACCGAUUGCGAAGGCGAUCUACUGGAACAUUAUUGACGCUGAGACGCGAAAGCGUGGGGAGCAAACAGGAUUAGAUACCCUGGUAGUCCACGCCCUAAACGAUGUACACUAGUUGUUGCUAUGCUAGACAUAGCAGUAAUGCAGUUAACACAUUAAGUGUACCGCCUGGGGAGUACGGUCGCAAGAUUAAAACUCAAAGGAAUAGACGGGGACCCGCACAAGCGGUGGAGCAUGUGGUUUAAUUCGACGAUACGCGAAGAACCUUACCUGGGCCUUGACAUACUGAGAACUUAGUAGAGAUACUUUGGUGCUGGCUUGCCAGAACUCAGAUACAGGUGCUGCACGGCUGUCGUCAGCUCGUGUCGUGGAGAUGUUGGGUUAAGUCCCGCAACGAGCGCAACCCUCGUCGGUUAGUUGCUAACAGUUUGGGCUG